This 1191-nucleotide long non-coding RNA is filed under the name Bemisia tabaci. RNAcentral's name for it is "lncRNA ENSSSA3NGG009811". Lineage: Eukaryota; Metazoa; Arthropoda; Insecta; Hemiptera; Aleyrodidae. The record is from RNAcentral.
UCACAACCUGAGGAAAACAUCACCCAAGCCGCUAAGUCUUUGCAGUCUGUUAACUCUCAACGACAGUGUGCACUUACAGAUUACGUACCCCAGCAAGUUCACAAUAACAAAUAUAACCUCCAGAGGAAUAAAAGUUUGGGUGAAAUUAAACUGAACAACUAUGGCAGCAUCAGCGAAUCAUCUGUCCACAGGAAAUUGUCCAAACCUGAAAGUAAAUCGACCAUUGGUUUGCCCAAACCUAACAUCAGUAAUACCAAAGAAUCAUCCCGCCUUAUUUCAAAUACAGGGCUGUAUUCUGCUGCACCUAAAGUGUCAAACAAUGUAUUCUCUCAAGCAGACCGGUUGAACCUCAAAUGUGCCUCGAAAUCUUCAGUGCCAUUACUACCUUCAGAUCCAAGUAAGUUAAAUUAUAAUCUAAGCGGAGCAGAUAGCUCUGAUAAGAUUGGCCAUAUUGCUUUAAACCCAAGCAUAGACCCAAAACCUGUCACUAUUAAUUAUUCACAGAACUUUAUUCCAAAACAGAAUGUCACUGCAGUCCCAAAAACUAACAGUUGUAAUGAGCUUCUGGACCCCUCUAGUCUUCCCAGCUCAGUCCAUGCAGCCCUACGAGCACCGUUACCGAAAGGACCCCCUCCAAAAAAGCCCCCCCGGACUUUCGCACACAAUUUAGCUCAAAGCCAGUUCUUACCAAGUAAAAUUCCUCCUGUGUUGCCAAACCAGUCAGAUCAUUCUAAGUUUAUACCACCCAUGAAUCAGAAUCUCGCCUCUUCACAAACUUAUGAUAAAUUUGCGAAUCUCCGCCCUGUGCGUUCGAAAACAGAAUCUCAAAUAAUGCUGAAAAAGCUGGAAAAUUUUCUUCAUAGUCAGCAUGACAUGACAAGCUUAAAGCCAAAGCGAUCAAGAGAAGAAGCUGACCUGGAUGUUGGGAGAAAAUCACUUCAUACCUUGCGGAAAGGUCCUUUGCCUGAAGUGCCAUCUACUAGUCAAGCCUCUGUCAAGCCUACCAGCAACACGUUGAAUCACAAUCUUUGUUUACAGUCUCUGAACUGUGCGUCCUGUACUAUGAGUCCCUACUCUACGAAUAUAUAUGAAAAAGUGCCUUCAUCUCAGUCUCAAUUUUUUAUCGAUUUUAAAUCGAACCCCAAUGAUGGAAUCAAGUCAGUUGAGGAGUCAGCCAAAACCACACACUAA